ACCCGCCCCACAACUCUUUCUCUCUCUCUUAAGUCUUAACCCUCUUCUGCUCUCCUCUCCUCUCAUCUCAACCCUAACUCCUACCACUCUCUCCCUUCUCAUCAAGAAAUUUUGAGAUCUACUCCCACUCUCGAAGAUUAUCGCUCAAUUUUAAGAAAUACGACAAAUUGAAAACGAAAUUCAAAGACUUUGAGGAUCGGCAGACGCGACCACCGCUGCAAAGUUGUUCGUGUGAAUUGAGAUCCAAGGUACUUCAACUCUGUUGAUGCUCAUGAAAGUGAGAAACUUGGUGAAGAUCCUAAACGUAUCCCGAACAGCCUUAUGCCCUUACAUACAACAUGUUGUUGUCGGCAGACCGCCUGAGCUCAAUGUAUAAGCAUUGACUAUCCUACAAGGGAUAUACAGGGUUAUGUAGUUGAAAGAAAUGAUCUUUGAUCAUUUGCAUGCAAGACCUUUCCAGUACACUCCUCUAGGGAGAACCAUUGUUGGACCUCUUGAGAAUGUCAAGACUAUCAUUAAAACUCAUCUCUAUAAUGGUCAUUGCCGCCUCUGGAAUUGUUAAACACGCGGAUGUUGUAGCGCUUGUAGAAACUUUUUUUUACAAAGUUUUCAACAGAUCCAACCACCGUUGCUCAAUUAGUUGUCCAGGAACCAACCUCAUUCACUGGUUCGGAGAUUCGAUGAUUUCGCCUUGAUGGGUAUGCAGCCAAUGUUGAGCUUUCGGACCAAAAAGGCUGGUGGUGGAAAACAUACGGGGUGAGUGUUAUAGUCCAUUGACCUCUUUGUUAUCCUGAUUAAGAUGUACUACAAGUGGGUUUCUCAAUCUGAUACUCUAAUGUAAUUGUUGGUCCUUGUGAGGAGAAAUUUACUAAUCCUCUUUCAUUAUCCUGAAUUUUUCUCUAUCUAAGUUCCCUUCUGAUUGAACUGCCAUAUCUUAGACCUGGAAGUUGGAUAUUUGGUGGAGUAACAUGUUAUAAUAUCAAGGUUAGUUCAAUAGAGAAUUUUAAUAUGAAUGAUUAUUCCAUUAGCAAUAAUAGCUUGUGAAUUCCCUAGCAGAUUAUUUCACUUAGCCUGCUUCUCCCAUAACUUUCACUUUCUGGUGUUUUUUCUAUAUAUUUAUGGUCAAAUACUAAGAUAUUUAUUGUUUAAGGUCACACAUAUUUUAUAUAUGUUGAUAUUACUUUUAUGCUUUGCUUUAGUUCAGAUGUGGUGUGGCUUUCUCAUUUAGGUGUAUGUUCCAUGUACUUUGUUUCUUUGUAGCUUUGUGUUCAGUAAAAAGCGAAACUUGACUUAGGUUUUUUGUUAUGGACGUAUCAGGUUCUGGCUGAGCAACUCUAUUGUUGGGCACUUAGGCUCAUUUUUCUAGAUGAUUUAAGCUUCUACUUCGAACAUGGUUUGACAAGCUCCUUUUCAAGAUAUGAUUGAUUGGUUGUCUUAAUUGGCAUACUUGUGAACAAAUUAAAUUUGAAGGCAAUUUAACGAGUUUCUGUGCAUGGACAAAGGGUCACAUGUUAUUUACAAAAUCAUGCCUUGAUUAUGUUGUAUAAUUUUACUCGCGAAAUAUAAGGGCAUAUUUCUAGAUAGUUUGAAAUACAUGGUAGAUGGAGAAUGUUUAGAUGUUGCUGGUUUAUUUUCUCAAAUUCUAGGUAAAGUUCAUACAGGACAUUGUUUGAAAGGGUUUGUAUUGGUGCUUGAGAGAAAAAGUGUCUGUGAGAGGAUGGUGUUGUCAGGUUGUGGCAUGGGUGCAAAUAUGCAAUGAUGCACAGAUCAUUGCUGGAAUAGUCUGUGUUACUGCUCUAUUAUUUGUAACUUGGGUGAUGUUCAAUUUUUUUUCCUUGGCUAGGCAAGACGCAAUACACUAUAAGGUCUUUCUGCAAUAGAGCUUGAUUAAUUAUAACAGAACAAACCAAAAAGGGAAGUAUAGCUAUAGACUAGGCAAUCAGGUCUAGAGAGUGCCUAGGGGUCUUGUUGCUAUGCUAAUUACUGCUUAUGUUUAAUAUUCUUGAAAUUAUUUGUUAGCUGUUUGGUUAUAAAUUUCAUUCAAAGAACUGGAAUUGAAAUUGUUCGCACUUUCAUAUGUUUAAUUUUUCUACUGAUUAGGUCCUUAGAUUUCAUGAUUGUUAACAGAGAUUCAAGCUUCUUAGUAAGCAGUGGCUAAAGUGCUAAGGUUUCCUCUCACUUAAUUUCCAUGCCCGCUAAUCUUGGUCAAAUCGCAUUUUGUAUUUUGUUCUUCUCCAGAUUGAUGAAACUGUCAAGUCAUUUCUUCAUGGUCAAAGGAAAUGCCUCGUGCAGCUACGAAGAUGACCAAGUGGUUCAACACCAACAGUUAUGGAGAAUCUUAUCAAUUUUGACAAUGCAUACUACAAAAUACUCCUUGAGAUAGAAUAAACGAUGCACUCGCUUUAGCUACAACUGAUAUCGGAAUUUCAUUUGGACUGUCAGGUUUUGCACUCGCAAUGGAUACAGGACACUAAUUCUAAAAGUCCAACGACCAUCAGAAAGAUACCAGAAGCCAUUCAGAUAUAUCCUAGAAAGCCUCUAGGACAAUUGUCGAAAAUGUAAUCAUAUCAUUCUCUACUAGUUCUAGAAUUAGCCCUUGUUGGCUAUGCUGUCAUUUGCCAGAUGAUGCCUGCUAGUAAUACUGGCAUGCUGCUUCUCCGGGGAACUAAAGAAUCCAAGAAGACAAUUGUUAUGAAUAAGGCCUGUUGUGAUAAAACUGUUAAGGAAGAAGUCAAGUGUCGUAGUUCAGUUAGCAAAAGAAUGAUGCAGUCGAGUAUUACAGAAAAGUCGAAAGAAGGGUUUAGGCAUUAGUUAUUUUUGGAUUGGUUUUAGGCUUUAGUUAUUUUUGUAUAGGAUUUAAGCUUUAGUUAGUACGGAAUAACUACUAUUUGUAUUUAUGAUGGUGUUGACAACAUUUCUUAUUUAGGGAUGUUAAAGGUAUAAUGUUUAAGAAGUUUUAUAAAAA
Long non-coding RNA from Spinacia oleracea (spinach), 2965 nucleotides. RefSeq lists it as uncharacterized. The transcript is spliced from 6 exons. Lineage: Eukaryota; Viridiplantae; Streptophyta; Magnoliopsida; Caryophyllales; Amaranthaceae. The record is from RefSeq and is a predicted model, not a curated record.